GACGAACGCUGGCGGGGUGUUUAACACAGGCAAGUCGAACGGAAAGGCCCUGCUUUUGUGGGGUGCUCGAGUGGCGAACGGGUGAGUAACACGUGAGUAACCUGCCCUUGACUUUGGGAUAACUUCAGGAAACUGGGGCUAAUACCGGAUAGGAGCUCCUGCUGCAUGGUGGGGGUUGGAAAGUUUCGGCGGUUGGGGAUGGACUCGCGGCUUAUCAGCUUGUUGGUGGGGUAGUGGCUUACCAAGGCUUUGACGGGUAGCCGGCCUGAGAGGGUGACCGGCCACAUUGGGACUGAGAUACGGCCCAGACUCCUACGGGAGGCAGCAGUGGGGAAUAUUGCACAAUGGGCGGAAGCCUGAUGCAGCAACGCCGCGUGCGGGAUGACGGCCUUCGGGUUGUAAACCGCUUUCGCCUGUGACGAAGCGUGAGUGACGGUAAUGGGUAAAGAAGCACCGGCUAACUACGUG
This 468-nucleotide ribosomal RNA is filed under the name uncultured bacterium. RNAcentral describes it as "partial 16S ribosomal RNA". It matches the Rfam family "Bacterial small subunit ribosomal RNA", at positions 28 to 507 of the family's 1533-position model. The record is from RNAcentral.